CCUACGGGCGACAGCAGUGAGGAAUAUUGGUCAAUGGGCUUACGCCUGAACCAGCCAAGUCGCGUGAGGGAAGACUGCCCUAUGGGUUGUAAACCUCUUUUGUCAGGGAGCAACGCCGGCUACGUGUAGCCGGACUGAGAGUACCUGAAGAAAAAGCAUCGGCUAACUCCGUGCCAGCAGCCGCGGUAAUACGGAGGAUGCGAGCGUUAUCCGGAUUUAUUGGGUUUAAAGGGUGCGUAGGCGGAAUGCCAAGUCAGCGGUAAAAUCGCGGGGCUCAACCUCGCUCCGCCGUUGAAACUGGCGUGCUUGAGUGGGCGAGAAGUAGGCGGAAUGCGUGGUGUAGCGGUGAAAUGCAUAGAUAUCACGCAGAACUCCGAUUGCGAAGGCAGCAUACCGGCGCCCAACUGACGCUGAAGCACGAAAGCGUGGGUAUCGAACAGGAUUAGAUACCCGGGUAGUC
RNAcentral lists this ribosomal RNA (460 nucleotides) under uncultured bacterium. Its description in RNAcentral is "partial 16S ribosomal RNA". It matches the Rfam family "Bacterial small subunit ribosomal RNA", at positions 338 to 795 of the family's 1533-position model. The record is from RNAcentral.